AGUGAACGCUGGCGGCGUGCCUAAUACAUGCAAGUCGAACGGAGUGGCGCACGGGUGAGUAAUGUAUAGCUAAUCUGCCCUACACUAUAGGACAAAAGUUGGCAACGGCUGCUAAUACUCUAUAGUGUAGGAUGAGGCUAUAUUGUAUCAGCUAGUUGGUGAGGUAAUGGCUCACCAAGGGUAUGACGCCGAACUGGUCUGAGAGGAUGAUCAGUCACACUGGAACGGAGACACGGUCCAGACUCCUUCGGGAGGCAGCAGUAGGGAAUAUUGCUCAAGGGGGGAAACCCUGAAGCAGCAACGCCGCGUGGAGGAUGACACUUUUCGGAGCGUAAACUCCUUUUGUUAGGGAAGCGGUACCUAACGAAUAAGCACCGGCUAACUCCGUGCCAGCCGCCGCGGUAAUUC
Molecule: ribosomal RNA, 408 nt
Filed under: uncultured bacterium
Lineage: Bacteria
Description: partial 16S ribosomal RNA
Rfam family: Bacterial small subunit ribosomal RNA
Source: RNAcentral